UGUGCCAGAUGGAAGGCACAGGUUAGGGC
RNAcentral lists this non-coding RNA (29 nucleotides) under Mus musculus (house mouse). Lineage: Eukaryota; Metazoa; Chordata; Mammalia; Rodentia; Muridae. The record is from RNAcentral.